GCGUUUGUGGUCUAGUGGCAGAAUACCUCGUUGCCAUCGAGGUGACCCGGGUUCGAUUCCCGGCAGACGCA
Molecule: non-coding RNA, 71 nt
Organism: Eimeria necatrix
Lineage: Eukaryota; Apicomplexa; Conoidasida; Eucoccidiorida; Eimeriidae
Source: Rfam